GAUGAACGCUGGCGGCGUGCCUAAUACAUGCAAGUCGAGCGGACCAAAGAGAGCUUGCUCUCUGAGGUUAGCGGCGGACGGGUGAGUAACACGUGGGUAACCUGCCUGUAAGACGGGGAUAACUUCGGGAAACCGAAGCUAAUACCGGAUGAUAAAGAGAAACGCCAGUUUCUUUUUUGAAAGUCGGCGUUGUGCUGACGCUUACAGAUGGGCCCGCGGCGGAUUAGCUAGGUGGUGAGGUAACGGCUCACCAAGGCGACGAUGCGUAGCCGACCUGAGAGGGUGAUCGGCCACACUGGGACGGAGACACGGCCAAGACUCCUACGGGAGGCAGCAGUAGGGAAUCUUCGGCAAUGGACGAAAGUCUGACCGAGCAACGCCGCGUGAGCGAUGAAGGCCUUCGGGUCGUAAAGCUCUGUUGUCAGAGAAGAACAAGUACCGGAGUAACUGCCGGUACCUUGACGGUACCUGACCAGAAAGCCACGGCUAACUACGUGCCAGCCGCCGCAGUAA
RNAcentral lists this ribosomal RNA (513 nucleotides) under uncultured bacterium. RNAcentral describes it as "partial 16S ribosomal RNA". It matches the Rfam family "Bacterial small subunit ribosomal RNA", at positions 28 to 523 of the family's 1533-position model. The record is from RNAcentral.